Molecule: non-coding RNA, 25 nt
Filed under: Rattus norvegicus (Norway rat)
Lineage: Eukaryota; Metazoa; Chordata; Mammalia; Rodentia; Muridae
Source: RNAcentral
UAGAUCUGUAACUUGUCUGGGUGGA